GAUCCCUAAUUGACUUGGGGUCUUACGAGACAUCGGUGGAAUGAAGCAUUUCAGAUAAGAGUGUGGAAACAGACUAAAGCAGACAAUAUCUACUAGUGGUGGGUGAGCUUGAUCUGUUACACACUCAUAGUCACGUGUCUGUGUCUUUUUUAUCUUUACUUGAGAACAUGGAUUUGAUUAACGAAUUCAAAUACGGAUGAUAUGAGCUCCAUGUUGAGGCUGAGUGGUCAUAAGCAAAGUGGGAGCAUGAGCGUGGGAUGGAGAGAAUUCAAAUGAAAAACGAUGUAGAAUCAAGGACAUCGCAACUUUGGCCUCAAGUAUCACAAGGUCCUGACUCAUGCAUGUUCGAGGACCCCAUCCAAUGGGAAACAAAGUUGGUUGAAGUUUUGAUGCUUUAGAAACUCCAUUGCUUAAUCUUUAUGGUUUAAAUUCAUUCGCAUCCUCAUCCCAUAUCUCAUGAUCACGGUGGAUAACAACCUCUGGUGCAUUACACCAGCUGGUAAACUCAAAUUUCCAACUCUCGUUUCCUUUUUAACCAUCCGAUUAAGCGUAUUUACAGGUGGAUAUAGCCUUAGAACUUUGUAUAAGAUCAUAUUUAUCUGUCCGGGCUUCCUUUUUUUCAAGUAACGAAGUAUAUUGACGAUUGAGGCCUUUGGAAGGGAGAUUCCCUUAGAACAACCGCAGAAUUUCGGCGAUUCAGGAAUUUGGGACUCCACAACCAAGCUACUCCCAAAUGCUGUUCGAGAAAUCACAUCAGCAGCCAUUUGUUGUAGAUAAGGCAUUACAUCUAGGUCACACGAUCCCUCCUCGGAGACCAUGCUUUCCCAUUUGCUAACCAUGUCGUAGCAGCUAUGAUAGAAUGCUGGUACCAUACCCUGUAAGCCAAUUUAAGGAUUGAUUAUCUUUCUGUGUUUGGCCCAUUUUGCUCCUUCAUGGUUUACAAGUCCCCCUGCAAACAACUUGACAAGGGGAUUCAUAGAUGGCUUUUGGAUAUCAUUGAACAAUGCAAAC
Cucurbita pepo subsp. pepo (vegetable marrow) is the source of this 1011-nucleotide non-coding RNA. The record is from RefSeq and is a predicted model, not a curated record. NCBI's taxonomy places the organism in Eukaryota, Viridiplantae, Streptophyta, Magnoliopsida, Cucurbitales, Cucurbitaceae.